GAUGAACGCUGGCGGCGUGCCUAAUACAUGCAAGUCGAGCGAACGGACUAGUAUCUUUCUUCUCUGAUGUUAUCGUUUUACGGGUGAGUAACACGUGGAUAACCUACCUAUAAGACUGGGAUAACUUCGGGAAACCGGAGCUAAUACCGGAUAAUAUUUUGACCCGCAUGGUUCAAAAGUGAAAGACUGUCUUGCUGUCACUUAUAGAUGUAUCCGCGCUGCAUUAGCUAGUUUGUAAGGUAACGGCUUACCAAGGCAACGAUGCAUAGCCGACCUGAGAGGGUGAUCGGACACACGGGAACUGAGACACGGUCCAGACUCCUACGGGAGGAAGCAGUAGGGAAUCUUACGCAAUGGGCGAAAGCCUGACGGAGCAAAGCCGCGUGAGUGAUGAAGGUCUGCGGAUCGUAAAACGCUGUUAUUAGGGAAGAACAUAUGUGUAAGUAACAGUGCACAUCUUGACGGUACCUAAUCAGAAAGCCACGGCUAAAUACGUG
Molecule: ribosomal RNA, 497 nt
Filed under: uncultured bacterium
Lineage: Bacteria
Description: partial 16S ribosomal RNA
Rfam family: Bacterial small subunit ribosomal RNA
Source: RNAcentral